Molecule: long non-coding RNA, 501 nt
Organism: Capsicum annuum
Lineage: Eukaryota; Viridiplantae; Streptophyta; Magnoliopsida; Solanales; Solanaceae
Exons: 3
Source: RefSeq, a predicted model, not a curated record
UUCUUGCUGCAGCUUGCUGAGGACUUGGGUGCGUUGCCAGUCUGGGUUUUCAACAGCGUUGGUUAUUUUCAGGAAUCAGCCAUGAAGAACAAGUUAACACUUCCAAUAUCUCACCUUUCGUGCAAGAUACCUUAGAUGGUAUUGAAUUUUCAAGGGGUGCUUCUAACUCAACAUGGGGUUCGGUUCGAGCUGCAAUGGGACAUCCAGAGCCCUUUGAUUUGAGAUAUGUCGCUGUUGGAAAUGAAGAUUGUGCAAAGAAAUUCCCACAGUACAAGGGUAUGCAAACCUCAUUGUAUUUGUCACAGAUCACAUAAUUUGUUCUAUGUUCUAUAGUUGCACGGGGUUCAUAGACUCCAAUGAAUUUUGAGGAUCGAGUCAAGACCUGAAAUCUUUGUAAAUAUUCAGGAAACUACCUCAAGUUGUAGUGUCCAGCCCAUGUUCAUAAGCAGAAAAAUCUGGUCAAGAUUUUCUGCAUUCCUAACUCUUACUUUGUCAAUUGGC